Molecule: ribosomal RNA, 618 nt
Filed under: Papiliotrema laurentii
Lineage: Eukaryota; Fungi; Basidiomycota; Tremellomycetes; Tremellales; Rhynchogastremaceae
Description: eukaryotic LSU rRNA
Rfam family: Eukaryotic large subunit ribosomal RNA
Source: RNAcentral
GGAGGAAAAGAAACUAACAAGGAUUCCCCUAGUAACGGCGAGUGAACCGGGAAGAGCUCAAAUUUGAAAUCUGGCGUCCUCAGGGCGUCCGAGUUGUAAUCUAUAGAGGCGUUUUCCGUGCCGGACCGUGUCCAAGUUCCUUGGAACAGGAUAUCAAAGAGGGUGACAAUCCCGUACUUGACACGACGACCGGUGCUCUGUGAUACGUCUUCUACGAGUCGAGUUGUUUGGGAAUGCAGCUCAAAAUGGGUGGUGAGUUCCAUCUAAAGCUAAAUAUUGGCGAGAGACCGAUAGCGAACAAGUACCGUGAGGGAAAGAUGAAAAGCACUUUGGAAAGAGAGUUAAACAGUACGUGAAAUUGUUGAAAGGGAAACGAUUGAAGUCAGUCGUGACCGAGAGGCUCAGCCGGUUCUGCCGGUGUAUUCCCCUCGGUCGGGUCAACAUCAGUUUUGUCCGGUGGAUAAGGGCGGUAGGAAGGUGGCACCCUCGGGUGUGUUAUAGCCUGCCGUCGCAUACAUCGGGUGAGACUGAGGAACGCAGCUCGCCUUUAUGGCCGGGGUUCGCCCACGUCCGAGCUUAGGAUGUUGACAUAAUGGCUUUAAACGACCCGUCUUGAAA